Molecule: ribosomal RNA, 396 nt
Filed under: Diasporus sp. 1 AB-2016
Lineage: Eukaryota; Metazoa; Chordata; Amphibia; Anura; Eleutherodactylidae
Description: partial 16S ribosomal RNA
Rfam family: Bacterial large subunit ribosomal RNA
Source: RNAcentral
AAGGGGCGNUUUNAANAAAGCGGGGGUGGUUAUUAUUUAGUACAAAAGCUGGAAUAACAAUACAAGACGAGAAGACCCUGUGGAGCUUUAAAUUAUAGACCAAAAUAAACCACCAUAAAUAUUUAUGCCAAACAAUUUUAAGUUGGGGCGACUUCGGAAAAAAACUUAACUUCCAAGCACAAGAGAUGACAUCUUAAUUUAGGUUUACCAACCAAAACAAAAAUUGACCCAGUACUACUGAUCAACGAACCAAGUUACCCCAGGGAUAACAGCGCUAUCUUCUUCAAGAGUCCCUAUCGCCAAGAAGGUUUACGACCUCGAUGUUGGAUCAGGACACCCAAAUGGUGCAGCCGCUAUUAAAGGUUCGUUUGUUCAACGAUUAACAGUCCUACGUGA